CGUGAGAUGUUGGGUUAAGUCCCGCAACGAGCGCAACCCCUAUUGUUAGUUGCUACGCAAGAGCACUCUAGCGAGACUGCCGUUGACAAAACGGAGGAAGGUGGGGACGACGUCAAAUCAUCAUGCCCCUUAUAUCCUGGGCUACACACGUAAUACAAUGGCGGUCAACAGAGGGAAGCAAAACCGCGAGGCAGAGCAAACCCCCAAAAGCCGUCCCAGUUCGGAUUGUGAGCUGCAACUCGCCUGCA
This 248-nucleotide ribosomal RNA is filed under the name uncultured bacterium. Its description in RNAcentral is "partial 16S ribosomal RNA". It matches the Rfam family "Bacterial small subunit ribosomal RNA", at positions 1066 to 1320 of the family's 1533-position model. The record is from RNAcentral.